GCUCUCGUAGAUCACCGGUAGAUCAUCCACGCGCGUUGAAAAGGCCGACAUCCGUUCUGUGGACGACAUGGGUUCGACUCCCAUCGAGGGCA
This is a non-coding RNA of Mycena polygramma, 92 nucleotides long. The record is from the annotation of a GenBank genome assembly. NCBI's taxonomy places the organism in Eukaryota, Fungi, Basidiomycota, Agaricomycetes, Agaricales, Mycenaceae.